UACGUAGGGGGCGAGCGUUGUCCGGAAUGAUUGGGCGUAAAGGGCGCGUAGGCGGCCAUGUAAGUCUGAAGUGAAAGUCCUGUUUUUAAGAUGGGAAUUGCUUUGGAUACUGUGUGGCUUGAGUGCAGGAGAGGUAAGUGGAAUUCCCAGUGUAGCGGUGAAAUGCGUAGAGAUUGGGAGGAACACCAGUGGCGAAGGCGACUUACUGGACUGAAACUGACGCUGAGGCGCGAAAGUGUGGGGAGCAAAC
Molecule: ribosomal RNA, 250 nt
Filed under: uncultured prokaryote
Description: partial 16S ribosomal RNA
Rfam family: Bacterial small subunit ribosomal RNA
Source: RNAcentral